UGUAUAUUACAUGAUCUUUUAUCAGAAAAAAUUAAUAAAACAGAACCAAUUUCAUGAAAAUGCUGUUGCCUUAAUGCUCAGGAGAACAGGGGGAAGAAAGAGAGUCAAGUCUUCUUAAUGGCAACCUUACAUGCAGGGCUUACUCCUGGCUCUAUGCACAAUUAUCACUCCUGGAAGGCUCAUGGACCUUAUAGAUGACAGAGAUUGAACUCGGGUUAUCUACAUAUAAGUGGGAGCUUCUCUCUUCAACCAACAUAAGCAAAAUUCUUCUGUAUAGCCAACACUGAAAUAUCAUCUUUGGUGAUACAGCAAAAAGCAGCUCUGGCUUCUACACUCCAGAAGGUAAUGUCAGAAAACAGAAGAAACAAAAUAAACCAGAGUGGUAGAAGGCAGCUCUAACAUUACCAAAAUAGAGAAACAAGGACAUAAAGGACAAAAUAGGUU
Suncus etruscus (white-toothed pygmy shrew) is the source of this 444-nucleotide long non-coding RNA. RefSeq lists it as uncharacterized. The record is from RefSeq and is a predicted model, not a curated record. NCBI's taxonomy places the organism in Eukaryota, Metazoa, Chordata, Mammalia, Eulipotyphla, Soricidae. The transcript is spliced from 3 exons.